GACGAACGCUGGCGGCGUGCUUAACACAUGCAAGUCGAACGGAAAGGCCCUGCUUGCAGGGUACUCGAGUGGCGAACGGGUGAGUAACACGUGGGUGAUCUGCCCUGCACUUCGGGAUAAGCCUGGGAAACUGGGUCUAAUACCGGAUAGGAGCCAUUUUUAGUGUGAUGGUUGGAAAGUUUUUUCGGUGUAGGAUGAGCUCGCGGCCUAUCAGCUUGUUGGUGGGGUAAUGGCCUACCAAGGCGGCGACGGGUAGCUGGCCUGAGAGGGUGGACGGCCACAUUGGGACUGAGAUACGGCACAGACUCCUACGGGAGGCAGCAGGGGGGAAGAUUGCACAAUGGGCGCAAGCCUGAUGCAGCGACGCCGCGUGGGGGAUGACGGCCUUCGGGUUGUAAACUCCUUUCGCUAGGGACGAAGCUUUUUGUGACGGUACCUAGAGAAGAAGCACCGGCUAACUACGUG
Molecule: ribosomal RNA, 465 nt
Filed under: uncultured bacterium
Lineage: Bacteria
Description: partial 16S ribosomal RNA
Rfam family: Bacterial small subunit ribosomal RNA
Source: RNAcentral